Molecule: RNA transcript, 3980 nt
Organism: Sorex araneus (European shrew)
Lineage: Eukaryota; Metazoa; Chordata; Mammalia; Eulipotyphla; Soricidae
Exons: 5
Source: RefSeq, a predicted model, not a curated record
CGCGACCUCGUGCAGCACCCGCUGCUCCGUUGGGCUAGAGGCUUGUCCUGGGUUCGGGGCUUUGCCCCCUGGAUGCAGCAGACGCAGACAAGAGGUCUUGACCCUGCCCACUGCCCGCCGCGGUCUGAGCGCCUCUUCCUCUUCCGAAGAAGUGGCGUCACAUUCGCCGGUUCCCGCUCCACAGGACUCUUGGUUUUCUACACCCAGAGCCCCGUGCAUGAAGCCAGUGGUCAGCCAUGCUGCAGAAGUUGUGGUCCCAGGGCCAGAGCCAGAACCUGUUCUUUCAGGAGUCAGUCACCUUCGAGGAUGUGGCUGUGGCUUUCACCCGGACUCAGUGGGCCAGCCUGGACGCCUCGCAGAAGACUCUGUACCGGGAGGUGAUGCUGGAGAAUUAUAUGAACGUAGCUUCCUUAGCCACGCAUCCGCAUCCGUUCCCCAAACCAGAUCUGAUCUUGCGGCUGGAGCGAGGGGAAGCACCCUGGGACCCGGACCCCUGUGCCCCUGACUGGGAGGAGGUCCCAAGAGCUGUCAGCUCAGGUGGUAAAGGCAAGACUGAGCAUGGGGAGCAAACCCCUUCUGACGAGUCAGAGCCCCGUGGCCUGAUGUCUGAGGAGCCGCUAAGGGGUGCUUUCCUGAGCCCUCACUCUCAGGUCACCUCAGAGAAGCCUCGGCUGUCUGACCUGGGGAAGAAGACAACCUCCGGCAGAGGCAGCUUCACAAACCCAGUCUGGGCUCAUCAACCUGCCACUGGUAGAAGGGUGGAGAAAGCCCAGAAACCAGAAGGUAGUGGUGGUGUCAGAAAGGGCCUUACUUCAAAGCAGGGCCUCUCCAAAGAGCAAGACUUUUAUAAAUGUGCUGAGUGUGGCAGGUGCUUCCACCAGCGUUCAGACCUUCACCGGCAUCAGAAAAUCCACGCCGAGCAGAAGCCGUACAAAUGCGAGGAAUGUGGUAAAGCCUUCAAAUACAACUCCAAACUGUCACGGCACCAGAAAAUCCACACCAGGGAGAAACUGUACUUGUGUCAGGAGUGUGGGCAAACGUUUAGCCAAAACUCUCACCUCCGGCAGCACCAGAAAGUCCACGGUGGAGAGGAGCCCUACAAAUGCAAGGACUGUGGGAAAACUUUCCCCUACAACUCAAAACUUAUUUUGCACCAGCGGAUCCACACUGGCGAGAAGCCUUACGAAUGUAAGGAGUGUGGCAAAAGUUUCCGUUUGAAUUCCGUCCUGAUACGCCACCAGAGAAUUCACAUGGGGGACACGUCUUACGAAUGUAAAGAGUGCGGGAAGAUCUUCCACGGGAGCUGGGCGUUUAUUCAGCACGGGAGGUUCCACAGUGGGGCAAAACUCUACAAAUGUAACGACUGCUGGAAGACCUUCAGCUGUAGCUCCCACUUUACAGUCCACCAGAGAAUUCACACUGGGGAGAAACCUUUUGCGUGCCAGGAGUGUGGAAAGGCCUUCAACCAGAAAAUCACCCUGAUUCAGCAUCAGCGAGUUCAUACGGGGGAGAAACCGUAUGAAUGUAAAGUGUGUGGGAAAGCCUUCAAGUGGAACGCAAGUUUCAUUCAGCACCAGAAAUUACAUACAAGGAAGAAAGCCCCUGACGUUGUAGGGCCUCCUCCCGGCAAAUCCACUUGUCCCUCUUCGGCCCCCUUGUCUCAGGCUGCCCAGUAUGCAUCCUGUGCCCCAGCCCUGCCCGGGUCUCAGCCAUCUGCUUACCACGCGGUGCUACUUCCUCUCUCCCUACCACUCUUCCUGUUGCUCCCCAUAUCUGGAAGGGUCAGUUCUCUUGUCCAAAUAUAGCACUUUUCUCCCCGAGCCGUGCUUCUGAGACGUCAUCCCCUCAUGGCCUGGGCCCUUAUGUCCCUCUGAGCUCCUACUCACACCCACUCCGCAGAAUACCAGUUUUCACUGGCUCCUGAUCAUUUCACUGUGACCCUUCUGGUCUUGUGGAAGUCAUUGCUAUAUUCCAGCUUCCUGAUCAGUUCUCACCCUUUAGAACUGUGCUUGAUUGCUCUCUUCUGCCCUUGGGUGAAAAGUGGGAGUGUCUACCCAUUCUGGGCCAACACUGUUAAUCUGCACCCGCCUUGUCCAUUAGCCUUUGGAAGAGUUUGCAGAAGGAUUUGGGUUUGCAGCAAGGAGGUAUUCAGAGAAAGUAGUGAUGCUUUCAGGACUUCUAAAGGCCCCUCAAUGCCAGUGGCAAGGCUCACUGGGGAAUCUGAACCCUAAUAAGGAUCCUGCUUAACCAAACCGCUGACCAGGGAAAUCAUCGCUGAAAUAAAUAUGAGGUGAUGAGUUGGCAUUGAUAGCAAUAUUGUAAAACUUUUAAAAUUUCAUUACAGGGUCAUACGUCUUUUCUGUUUGGAAAUGUUUUCUAUACCUGCCCAUUUGUUUACUUUCAGUACUCAAUUAAAUACGUAUUAAAAGGUGCCUGGGUAUAGUAAUCUUCCAGAUGUUGGUGUCACCUGGGGAGCACCAGAUGACAGAAAAACCCUAUUCUAAUUUGCAAAACUCCUCCUUCAGUGGAUUUCAUUCCUUAUCAGUUACCAUUCAUAUACACUCAAUACAUUUUCCAUCCCCUUCCCUGAUUUCUAUGACUAUUCCAUACCUCCUCGAUUAAAUAUGAAUUUAUGAGGGGUGGUAAAUUCUAGAUUAAUUUUAUAAUGAGCUACUAUAUUAAAACCAAAGCGUUUGAGGAUGCUGAUCUUGCCAGAUGUUAACUUACUUUUUUUUUAGUAAUGGACCACACCCAGUCUCGGAAUAUUUCUGGCUCUUAGCUUAGAGGUGAUCCCUUAUGAGGUUCACAGGGGACCACAUGGCUCCAUGAUUUGAGUCAGUGUCAGCAGCAUCCAUGGAAAGCAUCUUAACCUCUGGCCCCUACGUGACAUCACUGUUUUGACUAUAUUUUGUCAAAUAGUUGGAGAACCUGAAUCUGUUUAGUGUUACUGCUUCAAUACAGCUUAGCAAGGUGGGAAGAUACUUUAUUUGGGAAUCCAGCAAGAAAAUGACAUGUACUUUGUUACUUCCUAAAAGUAUGUGCACAAGGUUUACAGAUUUCUUACUAUAUUAGAAAGAUCCCCCACCCCCUCAUGGUUGGAGUUUCACAGGCUAGAUCAUUUAUGUCUCCGAUCAAUCCCUGCCUCAGUACCAUUAUUAUCUCCACUUUAUAUGUGGGUUUUAAAUAGUGUUAUAUGUGAGCUGUUGAGAUACUGAGCUAUCACCUGGUCCCAAAUUUUUAGUUGCUUUUCUUUUUCUUUUUGGGUUGCACCCAGAGAUGCUCAGGGGUUACUCCUGGCUCUGCACUCAGGAAUUACUCCUUGCGGUGCUCGGGGGACCAUAUGGGAUGCCGGGGAUUGAACCUGGGUCAUCUGUGUGCGAGGCAAACGUCCUACCUGCUGUGCUGUUGCUCCAGCCCAAAAUUUUUAGUUUUUUAUUAGGUAUAAUGGGCAUGAAACAGUUUCAGAUUAGCAACACGAUUCCAUACUUGUGUAGCAUGUUAACCACAGUGCGUCUGGCUAACAUCCAUCCCCAUACGUCAUUAGACUUUUUCUUGUGAUGAAGGCUUUUUCUUUUGAGCCGACUGCCUCACUCAUGCAAGGUUUGGUAUCUUCCACUAAGGUACAUAGCUGGUCCUUUGAGAUGAGAAUGUCUAUGGGUUACUUUUUUUUUUUUUUUUUAAUUUUGCUGUUUUGGAGUCACACCCAACAAUACACAGGACUUCUGGCUGUGUAGUCCAGGAUCACACCUGGUGGGACUAAAUCAGGUGCCAAGAAUUAAAUCUGGGUUGGUAGCCCCUAAGUUUUCUUAAGCAACUUUUAAUGAUGCACAUUGUAUUAUUCACUAUUGGCGUUCUGUUUGAUGAACAUCACAUCCUUGUGGUUUUGGUCAAGUUUAUUGAGAUAACUUUAUAGAUAGUAAAGAUUCACCCUCCCAUCUAUUUAUUUGGUUUUCACAUUUCAGUGUGUAAUAAAUGUUUUU